RNAcentral lists this ribosomal RNA (418 nucleotides) under uncultured bacterium. Its description in RNAcentral is "bacterial SSU rRNA". It matches the Rfam family "Bacterial small subunit ribosomal RNA", at positions 958 to 1375 of the family's 1533-position model. The record is from RNAcentral.
AACGCGAAGAACCUUACCUGGUCUUGACAUCCACAGAACUUUCCAGAGAUGGAUUGGUGCCUUCGGGAACUGUGAGACAGGUGCUGCAUGGCUGUCGUCAGCUCGUGUUGUGAAAUGUUGGGUUAAGUCCCGCAACGAGCGCAACCCUUAUCCUUUGUUGCCAGCGGUUAGGCCGGGAACUCAAAGGAGACUGCCAGUGAUAAACUGGAGGAAGGUGGGGAUGACGUCAAGUCAUCAUGGCCCUUACGACCAGGGCUACACACGUGCUACAAUGGCAUAUACAAAGAGAAGCGACCUCGCGAGAGCAAGCGGACCUCAUAAAGUAUGUCGUAGUCCGGAUUGGAGUCUGCAACUCGACUCCAUGAAGUCGGAAUCGCUAGUAAUCGUAGAUCAGAAUGCUACGGUGAAAUACGUUCCC